GUCGGCUGUGGCAAACACCCCGUGGUUUCCAUGAGGAGGCUCAGGGAUGUUCUGAGCUGCUUGUUGGGAAAACUGGAGGAUCCUGCCCAUCCUGUCCCUCCCUGGAGGCAGAGCUGGCACCACAGAGCCAGACAAUGGCCUCUGCUCAGUCCAGGACCCUUGGGAAGCUGGGCACUGCAGUGCAGGAGGCACAAAAUGUGGACACAGACAGGGUUCAUCAUAACACCUCCUGUGUAUUCUCUGUGGGGUGUGGGCUAGAGCAGUCUAAAUACACUACAUGCACUAAAUUCGUUUUUCUAGCACUCAGAUGAAUUUAUUUUCCUUUCUGAAGCCUGUGCAUGUCUCCGUGCCCAAAGCCAUUUUAAGGUCUCAGGUGUAAUACCCCUUUGGCUCCCCUGCCAGUCAGAUUUGUGUUCUUACAGGUUCUUUGAAUGCCAUGCAACCUUCAGACACAGAAAUCUUCAUAAAAUAAAACAAAAUAAAAUGAAAUUGUUCCUAAAAUUCUUCCCUCUCCCCAUGAGGGAGGAAUUCUUCCCCGUUCUUCCCUCCCCAAACAUUCAUGAUGGUUUCAAACAUCGAGACAGCAACCUGAUUCUGACAGAGCCUGGAAUUUUCUCAUAUGAGGUGCUGCUGGGACAUCCGAGGCAGAAAUUUAAUCAGGACUAGGGGCAGCUAUCAGAGAAGGCUGUCAUGCCUAGGAAACCUCAAAUUAUGUGCUAAUUAUCCACCUACACUGCCAGGGAAUAAAUAAAUAAUGACUUCAGCUUACUGUGCUAAAGAUAAUUCCAGUUGUAACAAGAUUGCAGGCUGAGUUUUUCCAUGAUGUGUUGGCAAUGCAGUAAGGAGCAAAAAGGUUUGCUGAGGAGUGACUGGGUGGGUUUGGAGUCCAGUGGGCUCCAGAGCAGCAGAAUCAAAGCUCAGGGUGGUCACUUUGGAGGGGUGACUGCUGCUCAUUGCCUGCCUCCUGAAAGGGCUGUGUAAUGACGUGUAGACGGGUAUCUGCUCUUUUCCACUCCACUUUCUUGCUCUGUAGUGUUGCUUCUAAUCACAGGAAAGGAUUUUAAUCAGAGAAACAGGCUUUGUCCUCACCUUGACCUUGCAAACAAAAGAAAAUGCUGAAAAGAGGAUCCUUUUUGAGACAAGGUGUAAGAUGUAUUGUUCAAACCUGAACAUUUCUAAAGCUGAGAUCAAACUAGAUUAGGCUCAUGCAUGGGAGUGAAAAAUAAUGCCAGCCUUUCUUUUAAGUAUUUGAGAUGAAUGUUUGCUUGCUUGCUUCUUUAAAAACUAGAAAAAUUAACAAUUUUUCCAUUCUAGGAGCUCAGUGUUUGCUCAAGUAGAAAGGCUGCUGGCAAUAUGGAAAGGUGUUUUUAUCUCCUUUCCUAGGUCUUCCUUCCCCUGUUUUAUAUUUGGAAUAAUUAGCUGAAACUGGUGAAUUUUGUUAGCACCAGGAAUAAGUCUACCUGGAUUUGAGGAGGAAGGGAAGCAGAGAAAGAGUGAGAAGUAGGAGGAGAUAAAUGUCAGGCAUGAUCCAUAUAUCACUGUGAUCUAGCACUGGUCAGCCCAAGUGGACAGCAGAGGUGAGAAGCAGCGUGACAGCUCCACACCACAUCUGGCCCCUGCUCUUUCCCCAGGACAGACUACAAUUAUCAAACCCUACAUGAAUAACUUAAAGAGAGUUUAAAUAGGUGUUGGUUGAUGGAAAGCUGCUGAGGAGUCAUGGCUUUAAUCCUGAGCGAAAAUGAGAGCCGGAAUGUGAAGAGCCAGAAAAAGAGGAAAACUUGGAGAAGAAAGUGAGAAUUCCACAUUCAUGAGAGCAGAAGAUUAGACCUUGCCUUCCCCUUUGGAAACAAUUGGUGCUCCAGACUCCCUAUUCAUUGGUUGGUUUGCUUCACCACUUCCCUCCCUAAAGUAUUGGCAGUCCCUGGACAGUUUUAAGCAAGCUUUAAGGAAAGACUAAGACCAGAAUAUUCAUAUGAAUAUUUUUCUGAGUAAUCAAACUUUGUACUAUGGCGAGCUGUUCCCAAUUCUCCAAACCCACCCAUCAUUUUUGUCAUAUGCUACACAUACAGAGUUUGCUCUUUCCCAGUGCCUCAGCAGCAGCUCACAGGACUAUAAGCACACAAAUUUCUGUAGCACUAUGUGCAAAAGCAAUCCCUGGCUGUUGCAUUUGUAGUUCUAAACAGGAAAAAAGCAUUUAAAGCUAAUAAUCAUAUUUUAUUGUGGGACUAGCAGUUACAAAGUCAGGCUGUUUCUUCAGUACUGCCAUUUCUGAGCCACCUAAUGAGAAUGUGUUGCCAUGGCAACCAAUGCCAUAAGUUUUUUUGGAUUUUUUUAAAGUAAUUAAACUUUCUAAGUCAAUUUUCCCUUACUUGCCAGGUUAGGACAUGGAAUGUUGCUUAUUGUUUUCUGCUGGAGCACUGAGGUGACUCAGAGGGCCAGCAGGGCUGGAGCUACCUGAUGAGAUAUCAACUAUGCAACGCCUUUGUUAAUAAAUUAUUCUUUUUCUGAUAUGUGGCAGGUGUGGGAGGGCUCGAUGAAAAUUUGUGAAUAAUUCUAUUCCAACUGGAUUGGUGGGGUGUUGCUAAAUGGAGAUAUGAGAUUAAAUGCUAAGACUUUGCUUUGUGACCAGGUGAAUGUACAGGAGACGAGGAUGCUCAGAUGCCAUUGAGACAAAUGUGUGUGAGCAUGAUAUGAAAAACAGCAUCUUUGCCAGGCUGAUAGUAGAAUGAGAGACAUCCCUGAUUCAAGCUCUGCUUGGUGCUGUCAGAUUUAUUUACCAGCCCUCAUAUGCUGUACAACAUGGAGCUUAUUUCCAAGGCACAGAAUGCCCCAAGAACAUAAUGGAGGGAGGGGACCAAGUCUGCUCAAUUCCUGCAAAACAGGGAUCUGUAAAGUGCCCAGAUCCCUUUGCUGUAGCUUGAUGUACAAACACUGCUGGCUGUUCAGGGCAUUCUCUGCUCAGAGCCAGCUUUGGGAAUACACAGAACAUAUGGGCCAGCCACAGAGCAGCAUGGAAGAGUGAGGCCCAUUUCAUGCCUUCUUUGAUUCUGCUUGAAUUUCCUGAAGUCACUGUAUGCCUUUCCAAAUGCCUGUCAAACCUCAUCUUAAAAACUACAGCUGUCAGCUAUAAGAUCCUACAAAGUUUAUUUUAGCUACACUCUGCUUGUGCCCUUUAGCUCAAAAAAAAUGAGUUUCCAGGAGAAAACAGAGGAAAAAGCUCCUUAAGUGUUUUAAUUUUUAACUGUGAAAAGGCUCUGCUUAAGCAUCACAGACAGAAGCAACAGCCCAGAAAGCUGCAGACACUUUAAAGCAUUUGGUUUUAUUGAUCAUACUGCUUGCUGUUCUACUGAAAUGAUAUGAAAUAAAGUAUAAAGAGAUCUUUGUAGAAUAUUUGGUAUCUUGACUUCUGUAGGACAACAGAAGAUCCAAGCAAAUAAUGGGGGUUUUUUAUGUUUGGUGGCUUAAACUGGAAUCAAAUUUUCUUUCAGCUUUGCCUGAAUAUCACACUUUAGCUUUUUAUAACAAACUAAAAUUUGACACAAGUAGUCUUGGUUUAGAAGGAAUUUUGUUAUUGAUGUGAUUUCUUAACAUAACACUGAAUUUAGCUGUUAAAAAUUACAAAACCUGCUUAUUUUCCCUUGGAGCACAAUCUUUUCCUGCUACCUAAAGAACAUCUCUAACCUGUCCAAAUAUGUCUGAAGGCAUAUUUGUAUGUCCCCAACCUAUGCCAGUUGUUUCCUGCUCCCCUCUUCAAGUGCACUGAUACAUGACAGGGCUCUUUGCAGUAUUUAUUGUCUUGGACCGGCCUCUGCCCUGAGGGGCUCUCUGGGUGUCUCACUUGAAACGACUACAAAUCUGUGACAGCAUAAUUAGGGCAAUCUGCUGGAUGCAGGUGCCUUUUUAAUUUACUCUGGUGAAUAUGGAGCAUUUUCACAAUGUCAUUCCCCCUAACAAAUCAGAGCUCACAGAUUCUCUUUCACAGCACAAGUUUGCUGGCUCUCGGAGCAGGUGAGUGAUGGAGCAGGAGAGCAGCUUUGACACCAUGUUUUAUUUUCUUCCUUCCCUCUAAAGCCUGGUUAGCUGAUAUGAAAGCAAGAAGGCAUUUGUCAUGUAGGCCUUUGUUUCCCAAAGUGCAGAAGCUCACCUCUAAAACUCAGUCUUUGGGGAUGGGGAAAAAUAUCUGCAACAGGUUACUCAUGUUUGCACAUGGGAGAAGGAGUCUGGCACCAUCAAAACUUCCUGGUGUGUCCCUGAGCUUUUAAAAUGUGGAAAGAAAUAAGAAGAAAGCAAUAAUGAGAGGAGUCACAGAUAUGACACAAAUAAGAAAGAGUGAAAUAGAAUGUAAUUUGACAGCAAUGAGGAAAAUACUGAGAAAUCUAUCACAUCUGUGCUCCUGGUGUUAAGAAGGCAGUGAGAGCUGUUAGGAAGGCACAGAGCAUGAACUCACAGUACUUUUAUGCAAAGGCUACAGUAAUGAAUUCCAAUCUUGCCUGGGAGCAAUUCUUAAGAUAAGUACAAAGGUGAGACUGGAGUAUUGAUUUUUUUUUAAAGAUGAUAAAUUGGAGUGAGUUGUAAAAAGUUAGUGCUGCCUGGAACAGUUCACAUUAAAUCAGUGCACAAGUAAAGAGGUGCAGGCUCAAAGGGGAGUGUAUCAGGAUUGAAUUUUGGAUCUUGGAAUCAUUGCACAGUAGGGUCAUUCCUUCUUCCAUUCUGUUCUCUUUCCCCUGCCUUCUUUGUUGCAGUAACCCCUGUGGACAGAUCUCCAAUUAAUAAAACUUACCUUUAUGUAUGCAUUAUCAUAAUACAAAGGCUCAAGGGGAGCACAAUCCCUUCAUGCCUGAGCAAAUUUAAAACUCAUGAUUCUCCUGGGAUGCUUGCUGGGAAAUAGAGAAAGGGAAUAAAGGGCAUUCUAACAUUUCUGCUGAAUGAUUACUACUCCUUGCAAAGUGCUAUGAAGCUUGUUAGAUUCUGAACAUUUAUGGGAACCUUAUUGCUAUUAGAUCCUUUGAAACGACUGUAAUUAAAAAAUUCUGGUCUUUUUUACAUAGAAGGUCUGCACUGUGUGUUAAAUCAUUUUCUUGGAAGAGCCUGGGAGAAAUUAGAAAUGUGAUUGGUACAAUAAGAGCAAAUGACCAGAAAUAUUUAAAUUGCCAACAUCUUUUAAGAGAAAAUACUGUGAAUGCCAGGUUUGAAUGCACAUAUACAUUGGCCUAUAUUUUAUCCUUGGGACACAACUGUAUGCUUAUGAUUACUGUUACUAAAAAUUCUGAGGUUUUUACUUUUUGGUCUGUUGUGUGACUAGAGGAGUCAGGCCCAUCAUAGCUUGUGCUGUACAGAGCAUUUAUAGAAAGGCAGAUGCCCCAAAAAAUUGUUAAAA
This is a long non-coding RNA of Passer domesticus (house sparrow), 5377 nucleotides long. RefSeq lists it as uncharacterized. The transcript has 4 exons. NCBI's taxonomy places the organism in Eukaryota, Metazoa, Chordata, Aves, Passeriformes, Passeridae. The record is from RefSeq and is a predicted model, not a curated record.